Molecule: long non-coding RNA, 837 nt
Organism: Amphiprion ocellaris (clown anemonefish)
Lineage: Eukaryota; Metazoa; Chordata; Actinopteri; Pomacentridae
Exons: 5
Source: RefSeq, a predicted model, not a curated record
AUAGAGGACAGCGCGCUAGCGUAUCUAGUCUAUGUAUAUCUAUGGUCGGCACGUCUGGUAGCAUCUCUGGCUGCUGUUGAUCUUGUUUUUGGAGUAAAACACGGUGGAAGCUGAAUUAGUGAGGAUGACUCCUGCUCCUGUCAUCUCUAAGCUCCUCACACAUCUUUACCUGCACAUGAGGAAAAUCACUCCUGUAGAAUGCAGAACCUCUGGGGAUGUCCUGUGGAUUCUGUGGAUCCUGUGGGUUGCAGGGUGGGUCCUACCUAGACCAGGCUGAUCCUGGACCAUCCCACAGAUGCUCAAUCAGAUCUGGAUGUGGGGAGUGUGGAACCCAGAUGUUCAGAGGGAGAUGAUGCCACAUCUGGUCCAGCUGAUGGAAGGUCUUGAAGUUCUCUGACUGGCCUCGACUGAAGAUGGUCGUCUCACUGGAUUUAAGAUGCACAAUGAGGGACGUCUGCAGAGACUGAGAAAGAGUCUCACCACAUCCUGACAUGAGGAAAAGACUUUAUUGAAGACUACAAUGAGAAAAACUAUCAGACAGCAGACGGCUGCAUUCAAGGUGAGCUCUGAACAUUUGAUCUGGAACAGGAAUUCAAUAACGGCAGCAUGAGCUUCAUUUCAGUCUGUAGCUGCUGAAUUCAUGGAUGAAUCAUCUGGCACUAGAGAAGAAGACCAUCAAACAUCCACGUCAGCUGAUGGAGGUCCAAGAGUCUCACCAAACAAACAACCUACAGAGUGAAGACCUCGAAUCUGAUUGGACGGCCUCUUAUUCAGCCACGUGUGAACAAAUGCCUCUAAGUUGAUUUGUUUUCUAAAAUAAAUGUAGUUUGAGUCCUA